AAUCUUUCGCAAUGGGCGCAAGCCUGACGACGCAACGCCGCGUGGAGGAUGAAGGUCUUCGGAUUGUAAACUCCUGUUGCCAGGGACGAAAAGCUUCGACCUAACACGUUGAAGUCUGACGGUACCUGGUGAGGAAGCCCCGGCUAACGCUGUGCCAGCAGCCGCGGUAACACGUAGGACGCAAGCGUUAUCCGGAAUUACUGGGCGUAAAGAGCGUGUAGGCGGUGCUGUAAGUCAACCGUGAAAGCUCCCGGCUAAACUGGGAGAGGUCGGAUGAGACUGCAGCGCUAGUGGGUCGUAGAGGAAUGUGGAAUUCCGGGUGUAGUGGUGAAAUGCGUAGAGAUCCGGAGGAACACCAGAGGCGAAGGCGGCAUUCUGGACGACAUCAGACGCUGAGACGCGACAGCACGGGGAGCGAAC
This 420-nucleotide ribosomal RNA is filed under the name uncultured bacterium. RNAcentral's name for it is "bacterial SSU rRNA". It matches the Rfam family "Bacterial small subunit ribosomal RNA", at positions 360 to 773 of the family's 1533-position model. The record is from RNAcentral.